RNAcentral lists this ribosomal RNA (459 nucleotides) under uncultured bacterium. RNAcentral's name for it is "partial 16S ribosomal RNA". It matches the Rfam family "Bacterial small subunit ribosomal RNA", at positions 338 to 795 of the family's 1533-position model. The record is from RNAcentral.
CCUACGGGUGGCAGCAGUGAGGAAUAUUGGUCAAUGGCCGGAAGGCUGAACCAGCCAAGCCGCGUGAAGGACGAAGGUGCCAAGCAUUGUAAACUUCUUUUGUCAAGGGACAAAAUCAGGCUCGAGAGCCUGACCGAGGGUACUUGAAGAAAAAGCAUCGGCUAACUCCGUGCCAGCAGCCGCGGUAAUACGGAGGAUGCGAGCGUUAUCCGGAUUUAUUGGGUUUAAAGGGUGCGUAGGCGGGCCUUCAGGCCUGCGGUAAAAUUGCGGGGCUCAACCCCGCCGAGCGGUCGGAACCGGGGGCCUUGAGUACCGGAGAAGUACGCGGAAUGCGUGGUGUAGCGGUGAAAUGCAUAGAGAUCACGCAGAACCCCGAUUGCGAAGGCAGCGUACCGGCCGGUCACUGACGCUGAGGCACGAAAGCGCGGGUAUCGAACAGGAUUAGAUACCCUGGUAGUC